GAUGAACGCUAGCUACAGGCUUAACACAUGCAAGUCGAGGGGCAGCAUGGUCUUAGCUUGCUAAGGCCGAUGGCGACCGGCGCACGGGUGAGUAACACGUAUCCAACCUGCCGUCUACUCUUGGACAGCCUUCUGAAAGGAAGAUUAAUACAAGAUGGCAUCAUGAGUUCACAUGUUCACAUGAUUAAAGGUAUUCCGGUAGACGAUGGGGAUGCGUUCCAUUAGAUAGUAGGCGGGGUAACGGCCCACCUAGUCUUCGAUGGAUAGGGGUUCUGGGAGGAAGGUCCCCCACAUUGGAACUGAGACCCGGUCCAAACUCCUACGGGAGGCAGCAGUGAGGAAUAUUGGUCAAUGGGCGAGGGCCUGAACCAGCCAAGUAGCGUGAAGGAUGACUGCCCUAUGGGUUGUAAACUUCUUUUAUAAAGGAAUAAAGUCGGGUAUGUAUACCCGUUUGCAUGUACUUUAUGAAUAAGGAUCGGCUAACUCCGUG
RNAcentral lists this ribosomal RNA (490 nucleotides) under uncultured bacterium. RNAcentral describes it as "partial 16S ribosomal RNA". It matches the Rfam family "Bacterial small subunit ribosomal RNA", at positions 28 to 507 of the family's 1533-position model. The record is from RNAcentral.